AGGACUGUGGCUCAGCGGUAGAGCACUCUCCUAGCAUGUUCGAGAUACUGGGUUUGAUUCUCAGCAGUACGU
Molecule: transfer RNA, 72 nt
Filed under: Marmota monax (woodchuck)
Lineage: Eukaryota; Metazoa; Chordata; Mammalia; Rodentia; Sciuridae
Description: tRNA.Ala
Source: RNAcentral